Molecule: ribosomal RNA, 113 nt
Filed under: Sinocyclocheilus anshuiensis
Lineage: Eukaryota; Metazoa; Chordata; Actinopteri; Cypriniformes; Cyprinidae
Source: RNAcentral
AUAGCUAUAUCACCCUGCAGCCCAAGACUGGGUACCCACUGAAGCUAAGCAGGGUUGAGCCUGGUCAGUACCUGGAUGGGAGACCUCCUGGGAAAACUAGGUUGCUGUUGGAA